RNAcentral lists this transfer RNA (78 nucleotides) under Clostridia bacterium. Its description in RNAcentral is "tRNA-His". It matches the Rfam family "tRNA". Rfam says of the family: Transfer RNA (tRNA) molecules are approximately 80 nucleotides in length. Their secondary structure includes four short double-helical elements and three loops (D, anti-codon, and T loops). The record is from RNAcentral. Lineage: Bacteria; Bacillati; Bacillota; Clostridia. RNAcentral also lists the same sequence under 1 other name.
GUUGCGUGUAGCUCAGAUGGUCAGAGCGCCAGGUUGUGGCCCUGGAGGUCGCCGGUUCGAGACCGAUCACGCACCCCA